Carlito syrichta (Philippine tarsier) is the source of this 248-nucleotide long non-coding RNA. RefSeq lists it as uncharacterized. The transcript is spliced from 3 exons. Lineage: Eukaryota; Metazoa; Chordata; Mammalia; Primates; Tarsiidae. The record is from RefSeq and is a predicted model, not a curated record.
CCAGCUCUAGGAAUCUUAGUUGGGCACAUCCCAUUCCCUUCCUGGAUCGCCGUUGCCCACCAGUGGACACCCAGCUCAGCAGGGUUUGGAGUAGCAAGAGAACAGCUCUGUAAUUCCUUCCAACUUGUUGGCAUUACUUUUAUUUGGAGGAACGUAUAUUGGAGGAAGAAGAUGGUUCUUUCUGAAGAGCAUACUGAACAAUCAAAUUCAGUUUCUCCACCCAAACAUCAGUUGUUAAAUGGAGAUGC